AUGAGAUCCACUUUUCAAAUCAACCUUUUUAACUCCCACAUAUGAGUGAGAACAUGUGGUAUUUGUUUUGCUGUGUCUGGCUUAUUACAUUUAAGAUAAGGACCUUUCGUUCUAUCCAGGUCACUGCAAAUAACA
Long non-coding RNA from Sapajus apella (tufted capuchin), 135 nucleotides. RefSeq lists it as uncharacterized. NCBI's taxonomy places the organism in Eukaryota, Metazoa, Chordata, Mammalia, Primates, Cebidae. The transcript is spliced from 3 exons. The record is from RefSeq and is a predicted model, not a curated record.